GACGAACGCUGGCGGCGUGCUUAACACAUGCAAGUCGAACGGUGAAGGGGUCUGCUUUUGUGGGCCCUGGAUGAGUGGCGAACGGGUGAGUAACACGUGAGUAACCUGCCCCCUUCUUCUGGAUAACCGCAUGAAAGUGUGGCUAAUACGGGAUAUUCUGGGUCUGUCGCAUGAUGGGUCUGGGAAAGAUUGCGCCUUCGGGUGUCUUUGGUGGGGGAUGCGCUCGCGGCCUAUCUGCUUGUUGGUGGGGUGAUGGCCUACGAAGGCGGUGAGGGGUAGCCGGCCUGAGAGGGUCGACGGUGACACUGAGACUGAGACACGGCCCAGACUCCUACGGGAGGCAGCAGUGGGGAAUAUUGCACAGUGGGCGCAAGCCUGAUGCAGCGACGCCGCGUGGAGGAUGGAGGCCUUCGGGUUGUAAGCCGCUUUCGACAGUGAAGCAGGCCUGCUCCUUGUGGGUGGGUUGACGGUAGCUGGAGAAGAAGCGCCGGCUAACUACGUG
RNAcentral lists this ribosomal RNA (502 nucleotides) under uncultured bacterium. RNAcentral describes it as "partial 16S ribosomal RNA". It matches the Rfam family "Bacterial small subunit ribosomal RNA", at positions 28 to 507 of the family's 1533-position model. The record is from RNAcentral.